GACGAACACUGGCGGCGUGCUUAACACAUGCAAGUCGAACGGAAAGGCCCUGCUUUUGUGGGGUGCUCGAGUGGCGAACGGGUGAGUAACACGUGAGUAACCUGCCCUUGACUUUGGGAUAACUUCAGGAAACUGGGGCUAAUACCGGAUAGGAGCUCCUGCUGCAUGGUGGGGGUUGGAAAGUUUCGGCGGUUGGGGAUGGACUCGCGGCUUAUCAGCUUGUUGGUGGGGUAGUGGCUUACCAAGGCCUUGACGGGUAGCCGGCCUGAGAGGGUGACCGGCCACAUUGGGACUGAGAUACGGCCCAGACUCCUACGGGAGGCAGCAGUGGGGAAUAUUGCACAAUGGGCGGAAGCCUGAUGCAGCAACGCCGCGUGCGGGAUGACGGCCUUCGGGUUGUAAACCGCUUUCGCCUGUGACGAAGCGUGAGUGACGGUAAUGGGUAAAGAAGCACCGGCUAACUACGUG
RNAcentral lists this ribosomal RNA (468 nucleotides) under uncultured bacterium. RNAcentral describes it as "partial 16S ribosomal RNA". It matches the Rfam family "Bacterial small subunit ribosomal RNA", at positions 28 to 507 of the family's 1533-position model. The record is from RNAcentral.